This is a long non-coding RNA of Brassica rapa (field mustard), 8659 nucleotides long. RefSeq lists it as uncharacterized. The record is from RefSeq and is a predicted model, not a curated record. NCBI's taxonomy places the organism in Eukaryota, Viridiplantae, Streptophyta, Magnoliopsida, Brassicales, Brassicaceae.
AAUCUAAAUAUAACAUAUAAGAAAAAAUCUAAAUUUUAUUAUAUGGUUAAUUUGAUUGUUUAAUUUUUUAAUAAUAUAAAUUAAAAAAAUACAAAAAUUGUUAUCAAAUAUAUAUUAUUUACAAUCAUUAAUUGUUAUAUAUAUGUUAACUAUAUUAGGUAAUUUGUAGUUUUUAAAGAAAUAAUUGAAAAUAUUCUUUCUGUAUACGACUAAUCAGUUUAAUAAUCAGUUUAAUAGAAAAUAUAAUAUAUAUUUAAAAUUAUUAUAGUGAUGAUAUAUGAUUAGAAAACACGUUAGGAUAUCAGUUUAUAUCCAUUGUCCAUUCUCCACUUUUCUCCGUAAAACUCAGAUGUAAAUCUAUUGCAAUGCGUAAAAAGUACAAUUAUUAAAUUAUUGGAAAGCGCUCGGUAGAAACCAUCCUGAUCUUGGAAAACGGGACCCACGUGCCAGAAAUCAGACAAAGACAAAGACAUCUACGUGGAGGAUAGCCAUAUACGUGUUCUUUUGUCCUAAACGUCUUAUCCCAGCUGCUUACAUGGAGCCUCCUUGUCCAGCCACCAAAAAAAAGUGAAUUGAGAAAAUUGGCUGAAAGUUAGAACUUAUAUUAGGAAACAUGCCGGUUUUAGAAAAGUUAUUAGGAACAUAUAAUUAUCCAUUUCAAUUUGAUCCUGUUUUCUAAUUUUUAUUUGACAAAAUUCACUAAAAUUAAUGUAUACAAAAUUUAGCGUGAAUGUACAUUUACAAAUAUAAUUUUUUUUAGUUUCCAAGUUUUCUUGUUUGAAAAAGAAUUUCCAAGUUGUUUUUUUGGUAAUCAAAGUUAUUCCAAUCUUGUAUCAUGUAGUGUAUAUCAGUAUAUGCUUUACUAUAUUUACAGAAAGAAAACAAUAUUUUGAUCUAACUAAUGCAUCUGCAUGUCCGGAACCUUUUUUCGCAUAUACUACAAUGAUUUAACUGACUAAAGAUACUUUUGGAUAUGUCGAAUAUGCUUAAUCGGUUGUCAGAUAAUAAAACACGUUAAGCGUAUUAUUGUUACACAACAAAUGGUAUCUUCUUAAGUUUGGCAGGAAGGAUUAAUUGGCAAAUGUGGUAAUAGAGUUAAAUCAAAUUUUCUAUAUACAUUAAGAAGUCUAUAAAACUCUAGCUAGGCAGAGUUUGAUAUUUAAUUUUUAGUUCUAGACAGAUGUUUUCUCUGAUCAUUCACAUGAAAAUGUUGAACAGUCUGAACAGAUCAUAUCAUACGAGAGGUUAAACAAAGAAAAAGGAAAAAUGAUUUGGCUUAAGUAGAAUAUUCCGCAAUUUUUCAAGAAGGAUUUGGGGAGGCUCGGAAUAUUCUUGAAUAAGGGUCACGUACGUAGCAGCAUGUGGACCAGCUCAUCGAGGCAAGGCACAUUGGUAUGAGUAUAUAUGGUUAUGUGCUAAUCCCAGAUACACAAAAACAAGAGUAAACUCGUUUAGCAAUUAAUUCCCUUAUACAGAUGUUGGAAGCAUGUCGUCAUUCAUUCUCAAGUCGAUGGGCACCGGACUCUCAACUGGUUUUUUCGCCCAUUGGUGGGUUCUUUACUUUAUUGAAUUAUUUUGUUUUAUUGGAACCAUCCAGAGGUGUUCUUUGAUAUCUUAUUUUUUGGUAGACAGACUUGCAUAUAUGUGUUCGAGAUAUAUGGUUGUUACCAUGAUAAUACUAUUGUAUUCUUAUAUCCAGUGUACCAGGCUAACUUGUUGUCUCCUAAAACUGACUUAACUGAAAGCAUCUUCAAAAUAAAUUCUACAAUUUCAAAUAUAUAAUUUUUUGUUCUCCAAAAAAAAAGUUCAAAACUUAAAAUUCGAAGUUUAAAGAGUGAAAUAUUCAGUACUUAAAACUUAAAAUUUGAAGUUUCAUCUUUUUAUUUGCAUUUUAGUCUUUACAAUUAAUUAUACAACAUUUUAUAAUUCUUAAAUAUUUUUUCGUGUACCGUUUUAAUCCUUAAAAUUUUUAUAUCUCAGAAAUAUUUCAUUUUUUUUGUUUUUAAUUCAAGUUUUACACAUAUAUUUAAAUAAAAUUUAUAAUAUUAUAAAACUAAAAUUAGACAACAAGAAUAUUACAAAAAAAAUCUUAAUAUUUUUUUUUAAAAGGUACAUGUAGACAUAUCUGCUACACAAAUUUAAAUAUUACAACAACACUAAUAGUCUAACAAGUUUGCUACUGAACCUUUAAAAUCUUCAAAAUAUUAUCCAAACAAUUUUUUCGUAACUGAAGAUGAAAUAUUACGGAAAUAAUUUUAUGGAAUAAUGUGAUAUUUUUCAUAAUAUUUAAUUACGUAUUUUUAUUUAUAAUUUUAUAUUUUAGUGUACAAUUUUAUUAAUUAAUAUUUAUGUAAUAUAUUUUGUAUAUGUGUUAGUUAGUUAUAAAAUUUUAUGGAUUUAUAUUAAUCAUCAUAAAUAUAAAGACCAUAAAGUAAAACACAAAUAAUUUUGAGUUAAUUUUGAAAUUUGACAUUUGGAGAAGAACAUUUUAAAAUUUUAAAUAUAGAGUUUUGCAAAUUUUAAAAUAUAGACUAUUUUUUAGAGAUGCUCUAAGCGGCGGUCUUUAUAAUACUAUACAACAUGGAUACAAAUAUUUAAUAUCAUAAUAUUUUACUCGUUUUGCGUAUACACGUCAAUAUGACUACAACCGACGCAGACACAUGUUUCUGGUGUAUAAAAUGAGAGUUAAAAAAAUGUAUGUUAAUAUUGAAUAAAUGCUGGUAAAAGCUGUCGCAUGUUUUAUCUCUAUAUAGUUUUGUGCUAUCGUGUGUGAUUACAAUCAAGCAUAUGUUUUUGAUAUUUGUACAUCAAUUACGUAAAGUUAAGUUAGUUCCUCCACGAAAUUUACACAUUCGCAUUACCAGUGUACCAAUCUUUAUCAUUGUCUAGAUUCAAAUAUCUAAUUACUAAUUAGGAAAUGUAUACAUUUCAUUAGCAUUAGAACUUAGAAGUACAUCAGAGAUUGAACAUGUGCAACAUAUACUACUAUAUAUCAAUAUUUUGUCACCAUCAUCAGUUAUAUUAACCAUUAACUAGAUUUUGACCCGCGCUUAAAAAACGCGGGGUUUAGUUUUUGAAUUUAAUAUUUUUUAAUAAAAUUUUUUAUAUAAGAUAGUUUAUAAGUUUGACCAUAUUACUCGGAACCAAAUAAUCAACCCGUACCAAAUUGAAAAAAUAAAACCAAACUUGAACCAAAAUUUAUAAAUAACCGAACAUAUCAUAUAUCUCUAGAACCAAGAUAAAUAGAUACCUGAAUUUUAAAAUACCAAUAAUAUACCUACAAAUAUUAAUUAUAUGUAAUUUCUAAAUAACCAAAUAUCUUAAAUAUACUAUUUAUAAGAUGAAUUAUCCAAUAAAAACAAAUUACUCAAACAUUUUUUUUCAAAUAUUAAAAAAAUAUCUUAAUAAGUCCUCAACAUUCAGUCUAAUUUUCCACUAAAAGGAACCAAAACACCAAUAAGUGGUAUCCACAGUCAAACCAGUAAACGCAGUCACCAUAUAUAAUUUAGUUUCAAUUUAAUAAAAAUCCAUUAUUUAAAAUUCUUUAAAAUCUAAAACUCAUAUUAACUCGUGAAUCUAUACCAGAUAACAUGGUAAAAAUCUAAAAUAACAUGAUAAUAUUUUUCAAAAUUUGAUUAAAUUUCUCAUUUAAAUUUUACUAAGAUAUAAAAUUGAAUAAACUACUUUUUUAUGUUAUACAUUCUAGUUUAUAAGUUUUAUAAUGACUAUAUUAAGAUUAAAUUUUUGAGUUUUAGAAAUAAAAUUAUUAUUAAGUUGAGUAUAGUUGAGUUACCUAUAAAUGUUAAAAAUAAAUAAUAUAUUUUAUUUAAACAUAAGAACAUUCUAAAAAUGCUAUAAUUUCCUGAGAAAAUAUUUAUACAAAACCCUUUCUCUUAAUAAAUCCAGUUGUAAAAGAUUUUCAUCACAAAAAUAACCUAGGAAGGUUUUCAAAGAAAAAACUAUCAUUUUGAAAUAUAAUUAAGCUUGCUGUUGUACUGUGAAGUAUUUCUCUAAUCGUAAUUGGAAGUUAAUAUGUUUUGACCGUCGAAUGGUAUCAUGUUUUUAAAUUUCUGUUAACCGUAUUUGCAUCAUGUUUUUAUGUUAGUUUGGGUCAUAAAACAUUUAAUAUGAAUUAAAAGUAUGUUAUUGUUUAGACUUUAAUUACCAAUAAAUCUAAAUGUUUUUAUAGUAACUCCUGGGUUGUGUGAUUAUUAAAUCAGUUAUAAAAUAAUCUGUUUUUUUUAAUAGGUUUAGUGGCACAAAAGUAAUAUUCCAAAGAAAAAUAGGAGUAAAAUAUAUCAAUGAUUCUGAAUUAAUAAUAUUGAUGUAUAAAUCUUUGGUGUAUUAUAGUCAGUUGAGUAUUAAAUAAUAACAUUGGUUAUUUUAUAGUUAGAAAAAUAUAAGGUAAUUGAUUAGUGUAUAGUUAGAGAAAUAUAUGGUGAGAUCAAAAAAUAAUUAAGUCUAGUGAAUAGAUCCAACAACCUUUCAUAAGUAGAUUUUUUUGGACUGUUUCUCUUUUAAUAUUAUAGAUAUUCUAUUUGUACGAGAGAUAGAGAGUCCUGACUAGGAGUGGAUCCCAAGAGACCAAGGAGAGAAAGGUAAAUGGAACUAUCGUUUCAUCAUAUUUUUAACUUGUGUGGUUGAAUUUGAAUUAUAUACAAACGUUGAUUUGUGUUCAAAAAAAAAAUACAAACGUUGAUUUAUCAUAGCUUUUGAAAAGGAUGGUUUCCGAUCUAUAUGCCUUAAUAAUUACGAAUACGUUAAGAGCACUUGUAAAAUGGCCAUUAAAUUUCUCGUAUUGAUCAGUUGUGUAUUUGACAAGCAAAUUGAAACAGGUAAUUAAUUGCUAAAAAUCAUACACACUAUUAGGUCUAAUACUACAAAAGGCUGAAGGUUAGGUUUUUGUUUUGAAACACAACUAAAGGUUAGGUAUCAUACACUUAUACCAUCAUAAAUUAAAGUGCUAUAAUUAUGUUAAUUGUUGUGUGCAGUGGCUCCGCCACGUGGAGUAACAUGGAGUCAUCUGUCCCUAACUCAUUUUAAAAAUUCUUUGUAAAAUACUGACUAUUUUUCAGUAUGCCCCCAUGUUUUUAAGAAAACUAUCCUUAGUUCUAUGAAUAUAUUUAGUUUUGCCCCUUACAAAUUUUUUUUCUACAUCCGCCCCUGGUUUUGUGCAUGCCCCUGAUUUCUCCAUAUUUCUAGUUUAAGAUUUUUCUCUAACACAAAUACGUCUUUAUGAAUAAAAUCAUAUGUGAUGGAUAUAUAAAUACCAACAAGAUAACCUUUCCUUUUCUUUUUACAAUAACGCUAAUCUUUCUUUUUCUUUUUACAAUAACGCUAACCUAAUAAACCUAAACAGAGAGAGAAGAGUUCCAUGAUAAAAGUCGAGGUCUAAAUUUAUUAAAAUACUAUAUUACUAGUAUUACCACCUGUGCUACGCACAGGUCAAUUUUCUGUUUUGUAAAAAAAUUCAAAAUAAAGAAAAUAUAUAUAAAAUAUACUUGAAAUAAAAUAUUUGAUGAUUUCAAAUAGAAUAAAAAUACUUAAUUUAAUUUAAUGUAAAUUUAGAUAUGAUGAACCUAAUAAAUUUACUAACUAAUUUUUAUUGUUUUCUGAAAGGUCUUAGUUUUUAUAGUUUUUUGAUAGGUCCAAAUCUUUAUAGUUUAAAAUUGACAUUUUAUGUGAAUUUACCUAAUUUGAUCAGAAAAUGCUAAUUUACCUAACAUCUUUUUGAAAAAACACACAUCUAAACAAAAUUAACCCACAUUACUUUAUUUUCAUAGGUUGAUGAAUUUAUAAAAUUAUAAUUUUAAACUUUAGUUUACCUUUUAUAAAUUAAAAGAAUUCUCUAGCCACAAUUAAAUAAAGUAAACUCACUUUUGGAUUCGUAACUGCAAGCUUCACGAUACUUUCAGCAAUAGCUUUACAUUCAAACUCAAUUGCAGUAGUGAAUACUGAAAAAUAAUUGAUUCAAGAAAUAAAACAUCAAAAAUGUUACAAAAAAGUCAACACAUCAAAGAGAAAAAUAGUAAAGAAUGAAAAACAUGCAAAACAUGCAAAAUCUUUUGUCAGGCCAAAACCUUAUGAUCUUUGAUUCAACCGGAAGAUCACUGGCCGUGAGUGUAGUUAUAAUUUCCUUCACAAGAAUAAAAUUUGCUUAUGCUUCGCUUCAUUCUAUCUCUCCAAACCGUGACUUCCAGAGGCUGUGAAUCAAUAGAUAGAAGAAACUAAGUUAGAUAUGCCAUAGUGAUCUAAAAUUGAUUCUCUUCAAAAUUACUGUACCAGUUAUCAAUUGCUUACCGCAAUUCCACGGUAUCAAUCUAAAGAUUGUCACUAAUAGACUUUUAAGUAUUAGUCUAGAUGAAGAAUAAAAAAAUUAAAUUGGUACAGAAAAAAAAGAAGGCACGAAGAAACCUGACGUGAAAAUUGAAAUUUUAAGAGGACUGAAAAGAUUUUUUGUUUUGCUGGAGAAGAUAGAAAAAAAAAGAAAAAGAAACUGAGAGUAAAUUUAUAAAAGAGGAAAACAGUUUGAAAUCGUGUCAAGUGAGUUUGAACGUGGAUGGAUUAUUGUGAUACAUAUUUGCUAAAUUGUUUGAAAAUUGUUUUAUUAAUUUUUUUCAAAGUAUUUUCCAUUUGUCAAAAUUUGAUUUGUUAAGUGACUUGUGCUUUAGUAUAUAAAUGAUACGUAAAUAUAUGAAAAUGUGACAAACUAGUUACUAACCGUAGUUUUGUUUUAAAAACCUCGCCGUUUAUAUAUUUUGCUACUAUUAAACUCUAGUUUUAUAAUUUUUGUAUACAAAGAGAAAGCUGAGUUCAGUAAUCCAACAUGCAAUCGAUAAGAAGAAACAUAAAACAUGUAAAAUCCAGUAGCAACCCUUAUAAAACGCGAAGGGAAAUUUUCGACGAGCAAUAACAUUAUCAUUUAGUAAUAUAAGUAGUCUCAGACUUAUAGGCUCCUUCUGUUCUUCCGCAUACUUAUUUUUUUUAGAAGUUCUUCGGCAGACUAUUUAUUCAUUGUUGUCCGCUAAUUCUAAAUAUCAUAAGUUCACAAAAAAUAGCCAACACAAUAUCAACAUAUGAUACACACUCAAUCGACUCAAGUCUUGUUUUCUGCUCUUAGCUUUAACAGAGUAAAGACUGAGAGAGAUUUAAACUAUUAAUUUACGUUUUAGAACUCAUAUUCGUGGAAUUAAAAGAUGAAUUAAGGAAGAGUGGGAUAAGAAGGAAUCAAAGUUGGAAUAUCUUUUUCAUAAAUUCGUUUGUCUCCCAUCAUUAGGACUGAUGGGAGAUUCCCAUCUAAAAUUAAAAUUCUUAAACACUAAUCCAAAAAAUCUGUAGAUAUUUUAUUUGUCUUUGUAAAGAAACGAUAAUUAAAUCACAAUCCACCAUCAAUCUGAUAUCCAACCAAAAACAAUUAAAGUGUUGAAUCUGUUGAUAAAGUUCCAUUUCUUAAGCUUUUCCAAAAAUUACCUAUAAAGUGUCAUUUAUAUUAAUAAAUUAAGUCAAUUUGCAAUGAUCAUACAAAUUCAAUACAUUUUGGAUGUGAUAAUAUAAUAACCUCACCAUCAAAAAUAAAUAUUUUAGUAACUGGAAUUUUGUGUAAAAGGUAAGAAUCAAAACUUAAAUAAAUAGAACUUUCUUUGUGUCUAUAUAAUAAGAAAACAACAAAUUCUCCAUCACAGCUGCACAGGUGGUACAAAAAUUAAAUCUAGUACAUGAAUGGCUCUUUAAUAAAGAAAAGGGAGAAGGCGAAAAGGGGCCAAUUAAGACGAAGACUAAUGUAAGAUUAUUUAAUUGCAAUAGUAUCAUCAAUUAUGUCACAAUUACUGCUUCUUGAUGCCAAAACUAUGUGCUAUAUGGAAAGCUGUUUAGCAUAUUUAACGAAUAUGAAAAGAUCAAGACUAAGGUAGAUGAAAUACAGUGACAAACAAAAACUUGUAAUGCAAUAUGUCAAUAUGUCAAUCUGUAGGAAAUUAUUCAGAAAACAAAAAAAAAUUAUGAACUUAAGUUACUUAACUUGUAUCCUUCCUAGUUACGGCUACGAUAAUAGAUGAGGUAGCUGUAAAUUAAACAGUAUAUCUUUAUGUCACCUGCUUCGUAUUUUCCAUGUACGACCACGGCUUCUUGGUAAAACAAUGAGCACUUACUAUUAGAGCAUCUCCAAAAAAGAACUCUAUUUUGAAGUUUCCAAAACUCUAUAUUUAAAGUUUCAAUAUGUUUUUCUCAAAAAGCAAAACUUCAAACUCAGUUUCAAAACUAUUUAUAUUUUAUAAUAUGGUCCUUGUAUUUGUCAUAACUAAUUUGAAUUCAUAAAACUUUUGUAAAUAACUACAUAUAUAAACAUAUUACAACAAUAUUAAUUAAUAAAAUGUUCUAAUAAAUAUAAAAAUUUAAAUAAAAAUAACUUAAUUAAUAUUAAACUUCAAACAAAAUACCAUAUUAUUUCAUAAAAUGAUUUUCGUAAUGCGUAUAUGAUCUACUAGUCAUUAGUGUAUUUCGAAGUAAAAAUGACUCUCCACAUUUUUACUUUGUAGAUUACGAGCUAAAAGUUGUUGAAAUCGGGUAAUAUUGAUACUUGUUAAUACAUUAUAUUGGAACAAGAAAGUAAAAGAGAAACAUAAAAUAUUGCUAAAAGACUAAUUUUUUUCAAUGAUAUUAA